Molecule: ribosomal RNA, 253 nt
Filed under: uncultured bacterium
Lineage: Bacteria
Description: partial 16S ribosomal RNA
Rfam family: Bacterial small subunit ribosomal RNA
Source: RNAcentral
UACGAAGGGGGCUAGCGUUGCUCGGAAUUACUGGGCGUAAAGGGCGCGUAGGCGGGCAGCUUAGUCAGGGGUGAAAGCCCAGGGCUCAACCUUGGAAUUGCCUUUGAUACUGGCUAUCUUGAGUUCGGGAGAGGUGAGUGGAAUGCCGAGUGUAGAGGUGAAAUUCGUAGAUAUUCGGCGGAACACCAGUGGCGAAGGCGACUCACUGGCCCGAUACUGACGCUGAGGCGCGAAAGCGUGGGGAGCAAACAGG